CGUUGAAACACUUGUUCUCGUACGAUCACUAAAGUUAAGCAACGUCGAGCCUGGUCAGUAGCUAGAUGGGUGCCUGCUUAGGAAUAGCAGCUGCUGUAA
Molecule: ribosomal RNA, 99 nt
Filed under: Acanthosepion pharaonis
Lineage: Eukaryota; Metazoa; Mollusca; Cephalopoda; Sepiida; Sepiidae
Source: RNAcentral